Molecule: long non-coding RNA, 462 nt
Filed under: Elaeis guineensis (African oil palm)
Lineage: Eukaryota; Viridiplantae; Streptophyta; Magnoliopsida; Arecales; Arecaceae
Description: long non-coding RNA (EGUI_LNC001971)
Source: RNAcentral
AUGAAUUUCAUCGGAUCCUGAUUAUUCUAAAAAAAGUGUGAGGAUGGAGCUAUUGAAGGCUGGGUAGGCAAGCAGGGUCCUCAUGGGGCUGAAUGCGUCUUCGAUGGACAGAGUAGGGAAGUCAGAGGCUAGAACAGGGAGACAGACGACGACACGGGAGGCGAGGUCGAUGGAAGGAUGUAAGAGUUGCCGUGGAAGCGGAUGGUGAAGAAGAACAGAAGGAUAAGAAAAAAUUAGGGACGAUGGCGGAUCAGACGGUGAUGGGAAACAAUUUCGAGAAGAAGGCGGAGAAGAAGCUCAAUGGAUGGGGUCCCGCCGCAACCCCACCUUGCUCCUAUCGAACCCAUCUUGAGAAAGCAGGGGAGGUCGAGGAAGUACGAUGCGUCACCCUUUCUUCCUCCUCCCUCUCUCGCAUCUCCUAUCAAGGAGCCUUCCGCAUCGGUUGAGCUACCAUUGUCACCG